Molecule: ribosomal RNA, 230 nt
Filed under: uncultured microorganism
Description: partial 16S ribosomal RNA
Rfam family: Bacterial small subunit ribosomal RNA
Source: RNAcentral
UACGUAGGGUGCGAGCGUUAAUCGGAAUUACUGGGCGUAAAGCGUGCGCAGGCGGUUGUGUAAGACAGGUGUGAAAUCCCCGGGCUUAACCUGGGAACUGCGCUUGUGACUGCACGGCUAGAGUACGGCAGAGGGGGGUGGAAUUCCACGUGUAGCAGUGAAAUGCGUAGAUAUGUGGAGGAACACCGAUGGCGAAGGCAGCCCCCUGGGCCGAUACUGACGCUCAUGCA